CAAACAUGCCAUUUGAAGUUUGAACUUCAGGUCGUUCACGGAAUGGAUUCUUCCCUGUCAACCAUCAUAUCUCAGUCAAAUUUAUUCCGAUCGAUUUGAAAUUUUAAGAACAUAUUUUCUGAUAAUUAUACCUAAAAAAAUGCAAUAAAAACUCAAUUGCUUUCGAAGAUAUAACUUACCAUUUCAAUAAAGCAGCCUUUGUAAGUUUCGAC
Molecule: long non-coding RNA, 212 nt
Organism: Hermetia illucens (black soldier fly)
Lineage: Eukaryota; Metazoa; Arthropoda; Insecta; Diptera; Stratiomyidae
Exons: 2
Source: RefSeq, a predicted model, not a curated record